UGAGGGAUAGUUUAAUCGGCAAAACGACGGAUUCUGGCUCCGUUGAUCCUGGUUCGAGUCCAGGUCCCUCAGCUA
RNAcentral lists this transfer RNA (75 nucleotides) under Chloroflexota bacterium. RNAcentral's name for it is "Chloroflexi bacterium tRNA-Gln". It matches the Rfam family "tRNA". From Rfam's summary of the family: Transfer RNA (tRNA) molecules are approximately 80 nucleotides in length. Their secondary structure includes four short double-helical elements and three loops (D, anti-codon, and T loops). Further hydrogen bonds mediate the characteristic L-shaped molecular structure. tRNAs have two regions of fundamental functional importance: the anti-codon, which is responsible for specific mRNA codon recognition, and the 3' end, to which the tRNAs corresponding amino acid is attached (by aminoacyl-tRNA synthetases). tRNAs cope with the degeneracy of the genetic code in two manners: having more than one tRNA (with a specific anti-codon) for a particular amino acid; and 'wobble' base-pairing, i.e. permitting non-standard base-pairing at the 3rd anti-codon position. The record is from RNAcentral. Lineage: Bacteria; Bacillati; Chloroflexota.